UACGUAGGGUGCAAGCGUUGUCCGGAAUUAUUGGGCGUAAAGAGCUCGUAGGCGGCCUGUCGCGUCGGCUGUGAAAACUCAGGGCUCAACCCUGAGCCUGCAGUCGAUACGGGCAGGCUAGAGUCCGGCAGGGGAGACUGGAAUUCCUGGUGUAGCGGUGAAAUGCGCAGAUAUCAGGAGGAACACCGGUGGCGAAGGCGGGUCUCUGGGCCGGAACUGACGCUGAGGAGCGAAAGCGUGGGGAGCGAACAG
Molecule: ribosomal RNA, 252 nt
Filed under: uncultured bacterium
Lineage: Bacteria
Description: partial 16S ribosomal RNA
Rfam family: Bacterial small subunit ribosomal RNA
Source: RNAcentral